This 288-nucleotide ribosomal RNA is filed under the name uncultured bacterium. RNAcentral describes it as "partial 16S ribosomal RNA". It matches the Rfam family "Bacterial small subunit ribosomal RNA", at positions 773 to 1060 of the family's 1533-position model. The record is from RNAcentral.
GUGGAUUAGAUACCCUGGUAGUCCACGCCGUAAACGAUGGAUACUAGGUGUGGGAGGUGUCGACUCCUUCCGUGCCGAAGCUAACGCAUUAAGUAUCCCGCCUGGGGAGUACGGCCGCAAGGCUAAAACUCAAAGGAAUUGACGGGGGCCCGCACAAGCAGCGGAGCAUGUGGUUUAAUUGGACGCAACGCCAAGAACCUUACCUGGGCUUGACAUGUUCCUGACCCCCCUGGAAACAGGGGUUCCCUUAGGGGCAGGAUCACAGGUGGUGCACGGCUGUCGACAACU